Molecule: ribosomal RNA, 253 nt
Filed under: uncultured bacterium
Lineage: Bacteria
Description: partial 16S ribosomal RNA
Rfam family: Bacterial small subunit ribosomal RNA
Source: RNAcentral
UACGAAGGGUGCAAGCGUUACUCGGAAUUACUGGGCGUAAAGCGCGCGUAGGCGGCCCGGUAAGUCCGCUGUGAAAGUCAAAGGCUCAACCUUUGAAUGUCAGCGGAUACUGCCGGGCUAGAGUCCGGAAGAGGCGAGUGGAACUCCUGGUGUAGCGGUGAAAUGCGCAGAUAUCAGGAGGAACACCGGUGGCGAAGGCGGAUCUCUGGGCCAUUACUGACGCUGAGGAGCGAAAGCGUGGGGAGCGAACAGG